RNAcentral lists this ribosomal RNA (494 nucleotides) under uncultured bacterium. RNAcentral's name for it is "bacterial SSU rRNA". It matches the Rfam family "Bacterial small subunit ribosomal RNA", at positions 28 to 507 of the family's 1533-position model. The record is from RNAcentral.
GACGAACGCUGGCGGCGUGCCUAACACAUGCAAGUCGAACGGUCCGGCACUCAACCGACCCUCAGUCUAACUGUAGGGGAAGUUGAGUGCCGGGUAGUGGCGGACGGGUGAGUAACGCGUGGGCAACCAACCCUGUACAGUGGGAUAACACCGGGAAACCGGUGCUAAUACCGCAUGACACCUAUAUGGUGCAUACCGUAUAGGUUAAAGGAUUUAACCGGUACAGGACGGGCCCGCGUCCCAUUAGCUAGUUGGUGAGGUAACGGCCCACCAAGGCGACGAUGGGUAGCCGACCUGAGAGGGUGACCGGCCACACUGGGACUGAGACACGGCCCAGACUCCUACGGGAGGCAGCAGUGGGGAAUAUUGCGCAAUGGGGGGAACCCUGACGCAGCGACGCCGCGUGAGCGACGAAGGCCUUCGGGUCGUAAAGCUCUGUUCUUGGGGACGAAGGAAAUGACGGUACCCAAGGAGAAAGCCCGGCUAACUACGUG